Molecule: ribosomal RNA, 500 nt
Filed under: uncultured bacterium
Lineage: Bacteria
Description: partial 16S ribosomal RNA
Rfam family: Bacterial small subunit ribosomal RNA
Source: RNAcentral
GGACGAACGCUGGCGGCGUGCUUAACACAUGCAAGUCGAACGGGCCUGUCUUCUUUUUUGGGGGUGGGUUGAGUGGCGAACGGGUGAGUAUCACGUGAGUAACCUGCCCUUCGGUCCUGGAUAACCGCUUGAAAGGGCGGCUAAUACGGGGUGGUCCGGUUGGUCCGCAUGGGCUGGUCGGGAUAGAUUCACUGUUUUUGGUGUUUCGGCGGGGGAUGGGCUCGCGGCCUAUCAGCUUGUUGGUGGGGUGAUGGCCUACCAAGGCGGUGACGGGUAGCCGGCCUGAGAGGGUGGGCGGCCACACUGGGACUGAGAUACGGCCCAGACUCCUGCGGGAGGCAGCAGUGGGGGGUAUUGCACAAUGGGCGGAAGCCUGAUGCAGCGACGUCGCGUGAGGGAUGGAGGCCUUCGGGUUGUGAACCUCUGUUUCCGGUGGUGAAGGCCCUGUCCGUGUGGUGGGGUUGACGGUAGCCGGGGAUGAAGCGCCGGCUAACUACGUG